AGAUGGGAAGAAAAAGAUCAGGGGAAUAUUCUCAAGGAAGCAUCUAGAUGGGACACCUACACCCCUCUCUACCCUAAUUUCCCCCUAUAAAUACACAUCUCCCCAUCAUGUUUCAACUUACCUAGGAUUUUCUCUUUUUAGUAGGCUUCUUUUUCUAGUCUAGAUCUAGUUUUAAUUUGUAUGCUCUCUCCCCCUUUUGUAAACACAUUUUAAUAUUUUAAUGCAAGAAUUCAUUUUUGUUCUUACAUUCUUGUUCUUUAGGUUUUCUUUGGCUAUGAAAUCUUCCUCUAACUACAAAAGAAUUCAAAGUUGUUUGUAGAUUGGAAGGAGCCAUUAAUUAGUUGUAGCUUUUUUAUAUUUAGAUUUGAUUUCUGGAAAAAGCUAAAACUCUAGCACAAAAGAUGAUUUGUGUUGGGGUUUAGACUUAAGAAAUUCCAAUAUCAUUAUGUUUUACUUUUAUAAAAUGCAAAAUAGUAGUUUAAUAAAUAUAAUAUUAGUGUUAAAGAGCCUUAUUACAGCCCCCUGCUUAGUUUUAUUAAAAUAAACUACCUACUGCUCUGUUAUUAUUUUUCUUUGUUAAAACCAGUGUUACAGAAAUUGGGAAUCGGACCUAAUCGGUUGAGCUACCGAUUCAAGGAUUAAUCGGAAAUCGGGGACUAAUCGGAAGGAUUAAUCGGAGUUAAAAUCGGGUUUCUUUUAAUAUUAAAAUAUCAUUUAAUAUUUAGUUAUUAUUAUAUUGGCUAUUUAGUAACUAAUAUAUUUACUAUAUUCAUAAACUCUAUAAUUAUUCAUAUUUAAAGUAAUAUAGUAUUUUAAUUUUAAUAAUUUAUCACAUAUACUUCGAUUAUUAAAUAUAUAUAAGGAUUAAUCGGAUUUCAAAAAUCGGAUCGGUGGUCGACCUUGCAGAGGAUUAAUCGGGGAUUUAUCGGUUAAAUCGGGGAUUUUUAGAAGACUGGUUAAAACACAUAUACUCCCCUUUUGUCCCCUGUUUUGUAAAAGAAACUCACCCCCUCCCCUGUCUUUUAACUUGUGCUUUCGUUUUCAAAACCCACAUGGAAACCCAUUUCCUAUUUCUUGUUUCUUCUUCGAUUAAAAACCUGCGACCCUCUUCUUUAGCUGAGUCUUUCGUUUUCUGUUAGUAAUCGAGUCUAGUCUGUUAUGCUUGUUGGUUGUCGUCUUUGUUUGCUUUCUUUCGAUUUCGUUUUCGCCGAGUCAAAUGCCUGAGUAGUCAGUCUGUUUCUGGAUUGUAUUUUGCCGAUUUGCAGCGUUUAUUUGUGUUGGUUUUGCUCAGCGUCGAGUCCUGUUGAAUGCUUGUUUUGUUGAGUAUGAGUCGUAGCUGAGUCGCCGAGUUCAGGUGGUCUGUCUUUGUCCUAGUCUGUCGAGUGUUUCAUUGCUUCCUGUAGUCGAGUUUUGGCACCGAGUCGUGUGUUUGCUGCUCCGAUUUGUUGAGGCUGCGUCUUUUGUUUAUGUCGAGUUAUUCUGGCUUAAGUUUGCUUUCUUUCGUUAGUUUUUGUUGCUGGAUUCUACUAUCAGGUUUAUUAGUAUAGUUUUGUGUCUGAGUUAAUGCUGCUGUUGGGUGUUGGUUUAAUCUGGCUUCUUAAAUCGAGUCUAUUCUUGCUGUGUUUAAGUCGAGUAGCUGUUCAUUCGGCCGAGUUUGAUUUAUGCUGAGUUUUAAUAGGGUCAUUUGAUGCUGAGUUGUUUGGCUGCUCUUUUAUUUAGUAAGUUUGUAUUGCUUUCUUGAGUUUGUUUCUUUUCUUUUUGUCGUCUUCUUAUCAAGUCACCUCCUGGAAGUUUUCAUUUUCUUUUGUUUUUUUUUGUGUUUUGCCGUAUGAUUGUUUCAUUUUCUGGUCAGUAAAGUAUGCUUAACUAAUUUUAGUUUAUUUAGUUAGUUAAUCUUGGUAAUAAAUUUUGGUUAACUACAUUAUUCUCGCACUUUAAUUUUAUAAAAAUUAGUUUUCAAAAUUAGUUUAAUAAGAAAACCCCCCCAUUUUCAAAACUUAAAAUUCCUAAUUCGCCUAGGUUAAUAAUAAAAGGAUUUGUGAAAGUUAAUUUUAAUCUCUGUGGAUCGAAUUAUAAAUAUUAAAACGGUGAUCGUGCGCUUGCGAUUAAUAAAUGUAAUAUUUCAAGCACAUCAGUCAUAUCUUUCUUUAAGAAUUUGGUCUUAAAUAUAGGUCUUAAUCUGUGAUUUUGUUCGGAUUGUAUUAAUUAUAUUAGUUUGGUUCACUAUAAUUUAAAUAUUAUUAUAUAUAUAAUUAUUAUCAAUUAAAUAUAUUAUUUUAAUAUGAUAACAAAUUAUAUAGAUUGGUUAAAUAUGAUUAGAUGUUUAUAGUCAAUCUACGCAACUUUAAGAUGUUGGCUAAAAUUAUAUACAACACCAUUAUUUUCACUAGAAGUUCAAUCUUUUUUACCUAAUCUUCAUACUUAUUAUUUAUAACAUGUAUAAAUUAUAUUUAACUAAGAAUUUUACAAAGUUCUAAUUUUUACCUAUGAAAAAGAGAUCAAUACCACUGAGAUCUUUUCUUUUGUCUCAUUUCUUACAUUAAUAUAAUUUUUAAUACUAUUUUUAUAAGAUCUUAAUACAUGUCAUAUCUUUCUUUAAGAACGUGGUCUUAAAUAUAAGUCUUAAUCUGUGAUUUUAGUUUUACAAGGGUACAUUUGUUAAAUGUUAUACGGAAAAAUAAUGCAUACUAGCUUGAAGUAGGUUGAAACAAGGAGAGUAUAGGUUGAAAUAAUGCGGUUGUGCUAGAAAUUGAAAUGCUGUUGGUUUGUAACGGUGUCAAUGCAUUCAUGAGUUUAUUUAUGUACCUUGCAGGAAUACUGUACCUUGUAGGAAUGUAUGUACUUAAUUAGCAAAUUGACGUGUAGUUGUGUAGGAUGGUAAAAGCAUCAUUUUGCUAGCUAGCUAGCUGUCUGUUUCUAAUUAGAUGAAAAGAAAUCUGAAUGUUUAGCUUCUUAGCUUUUGUCAAAGAAUAUGAAUGCCGCACCACCAAGUUGUAUGUUGCCUUAUUUAGACAAGGUAAACUUUCUCUACCUAACAGUUUUUUUUUCCUUUUGGCGGUUGCAGAGUUUACUUUUCUUUUUCAUUUUUUCAUGUAGACAAUUUGCAAGACUGCAGGGAAUAUUGCAAAGCCUAUUAUCGCUGAACAAAUUCCGAAGUAUAUAAUCGAGGCAUAAGACCUUAUGCAUGGCUGUAUGUAAUGCCAAAUAAAAUAGUUAAGUAUCACUUGCAUAUCAUCCUUGUCUCUCAAAACAAUAAUAAAAUAAAAAAUUUCCUGAAAAACAUCUAAAAGCUAUAUAACUAGAUUUUGACCGCCCAUUCGCCACUGUCAAACGUAAGCUCAAGACUCGCAUAGCUAAGAACUUAACCAUAUGCGAAGGUCUAUAUCUUUGACUUAUAUUAUUAUUUACUAAAUGAUAUAAAUAAAAGAUGAAUAAACCAUAAGGAUAUCAGACAACAGCCAUUCUUUUAAUUUUACUUAUACAGUCCAUCAACUUUUAAUUUUGUCAAGGCAGUAGGUGCAAACUUUAAAGCUGAGGUGCCUUCUUUUAGCAUGUUUUUAACUAGAUUUAGGGCUCCUAGCAUGNGUUUCAUUGCUUCCUGUAGUCGAGUUUUGGCACCGAGUCGUGUGUUUGCUGCUCCGAUUUGUUGAGGCUGCGUCUUUUGUUUAUGUCGAGUUAUUCUGGCUUAAGUUUGCUUUCUUUCGUUAGUUUUUGUUGCUGGAUUCUACUAUCAGGUUUAUUAGUAUAGUUUUGUGUCUGAGUUAAUGCUGCUGUUGGGUGUUGGUUUAAUCUGGCUUCUUAAAUCGAGUCUAUUCUUGCUGUGUUUAAGUCGAGUAGCUGUUCAUUCGGCCGAGUUUGAUUUAUGCUGAGUUUUAAUAGGGUCAUUUGAUGCUGAGUUGUUUGGCUGCUCUUUUAUUUAGUAAGUUUGUAUUGCUUUCUUGAGUUUGUUUCUUUUCUUUUUGUCGUCUUCUUAUCAAGUCACCUCCUGGAAGUUUUCAUUUUCUUUUGUUUUUUUUUGUGUUUUGCCGUAUGAUUGUUUCAUUUUCUGGUCAGUAAAGUAUGCUUAACUAAUUUUAGUUU
This 4080-nucleotide long non-coding RNA is filed under the name Daucus carota (carrot). RNAcentral describes it as "long non-coding RNA (DCAR_LNC007623)". The record is from RNAcentral. Lineage: Eukaryota; Viridiplantae; Streptophyta; Magnoliopsida; Apiales; Apiaceae.